GGCGAACGCUGGCGGCAGGCUUAACACAUGCAAGUCGAACGCCCCGCAAGGGGAGUGGCAGACGGGUGAGUAACACGUGGGAACGUACCCUUUGGUUCGGAAUAACUUGGGGAAACUCAAGCUAAUACCGGAUAAGCCCUUAUGGGGAAAGGUUUACUGCCGAAGGAUCGGCCCGCGUCUGAUUAGCUAGUUGGUGAGGUAAUGGCUCGCCAAGGCGACGAUCAGUAGCUGGUCUGAGAGGAUGAUCAGCCACACUGGGACUGAGACACGGCCCAGACUCCUACGGGAGGCAGCAGUGGGGAAUAUUGGACAAUGGGGGCAACCCUGAUCCAGCCAUGCCGCGUGAGUGAUGAAGGCCUUAGGGUUGUAAAGCUCUUUUACCCGGGACGAUAAUGACUGUACCGGGAGAAUAAGCCCCGGCUAACUUCGUGCCAGCAGCCGCAGUAA
Molecule: ribosomal RNA, 447 nt
Filed under: uncultured bacterium
Lineage: Bacteria
Description: partial 16S ribosomal RNA
Rfam family: Bacterial small subunit ribosomal RNA
Source: RNAcentral